GGUUAAGAGUUGACCUAAUCGUCGAGAUGGUUUGGUCCCUGAUUUGAUCAGGGGUUGGGCUUAAUCAAUUUUUGAUUUGAUUAGAAUUUUAUUGAGCCUAAUUAAAUCUAAUUUAGUUGAAUUUAAAUUAGUCUAAUUGGACCUAACUUAUUUGAUUCAAUUAGGUUGGUUUAAAUAAUUAAACCACCUUGACCCAAUCUCCAUGCG
This 207-nucleotide long non-coding RNA is filed under the name Elaeis guineensis (African oil palm). RNAcentral's name for it is "long non-coding RNA (EGUI_LNC071505)". The record is from RNAcentral. Lineage: Eukaryota; Viridiplantae; Streptophyta; Magnoliopsida; Arecales; Arecaceae.